Aspergillus melleus is the source of this 92-nucleotide non-coding RNA. Lineage: Eukaryota; Fungi; Ascomycota; Eurotiomycetes; Eurotiales; Aspergillaceae. The record is from the annotation of a RefSeq genome assembly.
CCCCCGAUGGUCUAGUUGGUUAUGGCGUUCGGCUGUAAUGGAUUAUCUUUCUUGUAACCGAAAAAUCACCAGUUCGAUUCUGGUUCGGGGGA